GACGAACGCUGGCGGCGUGCCUAAUACAUGCAAGUCGAGCGGACGAAUCGAAAGCUUGCUUUUGAUACGUUAGCGGCGGACGGGUGAGUAACACGUGGGCAACCUGCCCUGUAGACGGGGAUAACACCGAGAAAUCGGUGCUAAUACCGGAUAACACGAAAGACCGCAUGGUCUUUCGUUGAAAGGCGGCGCAAGCUGUCGCUACAGGAUGGGCCCGCGGCGCAUUAGCUAGUUGGUGAGGUAACGGCUCACCAAGGCGACGAUGCGUAGCCGACCUGAGAGGGUGAUCGGCCACACUGGGACUGAGACACGGCCCAGACUCCUACGGGAGGCAGCAGUAGGGAAUCUUCCGCAAUGGACGAAAGUCUGACGGAGCAACGCCGCGUGAGCGAAGAAGGCCUUCGGGUCGUAAAGCUCUGUUGUUAGGGAAGAACAAGUACCGCAGUCACUGGCGGUACCUUGACGGUACCUAACGAGGAAGCCACGGGUAACUACGUGCCAGCAGCCGCGGUAAUAAU
This 518-nucleotide ribosomal RNA is filed under the name uncultured thermophilic aerobic biofilm eubacterium SCBP-D11. RNAcentral's name for it is "bacterial SSU rRNA". It matches the Rfam family "Bacterial small subunit ribosomal RNA", at positions 28 to 526 of the family's 1533-position model. The record is from RNAcentral.